CUAAUGCAUAUGAUUUUGAUGUCAUUAACAUAAUUUUGUCCAUACCAGAACGAUCAGUGUGCAGAUAAUAUUUAAGGACGUCGUUGGUCAGAUCCAGAUUCCUGUAAGUGUGGACAUGGUUUAUGCAUUUUCCUAUUGACAAAGAGAACCAUGAACGAGGUCAUUUUAUUAAUACUACUUGUAGCAGUAUGUAUGGUGAAGUCUCAAACAGAAACACCAGCAGAAAAUAAACCGAUAUCUACACAGCCCCCGGGAGGAGUCAGGCCCUGGGGAUUUUCCCGAAGAGCACAGCCCAUGAGACAAUAUGAUAGUAAUAGUUAUUACUACGACUAUUAUGGUAUGAAUAGAGGGUGCACUUGUACGCCGUUCCCAUGCCGUCGCAGAUUUGGAUUGAGAGGGCGCUGUAGAACCUCUAGAUUUCAACGGCCAGGUUUCCGUUGCUGCUAUUUUGGAUUCCGAAAUGGAUAUGGAGAUUAUGAUUUUGAUCUAUAUGACUAAAUUCGUGAUAUGCAUACAAACGCCAGCCUGUUGUGGAAGAUGAACUACAUAAUUUGUAAAACAAACCUCACAUUACGGAAAAAAUAUUACAUAGCACGUAUGAAAAAUAUUGAAUAAUGUCAUUAUGUGGGAUAGUUAUAUACUAAGAGAUAAUGUAUUGGACAAUCAGUCGGGGAUUCAAAUUUAUUGCAAAUUAGUUUUUUAAAUGAGUUUCAUUGUUACAUAGUAGACUGUUGCACUCUCGCGAAAAUUAUCCUUUCUUGAAACGAAACUCGCAAAAAACAAAAAUUAAGCGACUAACAUUAUACUCACUUGCCUGUAAAUCGAAUAAAUAGUUUAAUCUAUAAAUUUACUAUGCAAACCACAGUGCAAAUUGUUUAUAAUAAGUGUUGUCUGUUAUUUGUAUGCUGACAUGUUAAAAACAAAUGUAUACAACAGAAAAUAAAAAAUAUCAAACUA
Molecule: long non-coding RNA, 957 nt
Filed under: Mizuhopecten yessoensis (Yesso scallop)
Lineage: Eukaryota; Metazoa; Mollusca; Bivalvia; Pectinida; Pectinidae
Description: uncharacterized LOC110458856, transcript variant X1
Source: RNAcentral